UUGACCCCAACCUCUGAAGGAGGAAUCAGACCUGGAGAAAAGUUCCUGCAAUUCAAAGAAAUAAAGUGGCAACUUCUGGGAGAAGAAUGUUGAAACUCAAACCUGGAUUUCCAGCCUGAGUGUCCAUCAGGCCUUGAUAACCAAGCUGCACCAGGAAGAUGAGCAAUAACUGCAUUGCCAUGUGCCAGGGACCAAUGGGCAGAACACCCUGCAGGGGCCUCAGAAGGCUCCCAGCUUGCCUGGUAUCCAUGAAUCCAAAUGGAAAAGAGAAAACGGCAAAUGACACUCAAUCCCAAAGUGAGCCAAGCUGUCCUUGUACCCAGAGAAACAACUGACAGCUGACACACGAUGGGACCUGCAGGGAUUUCUGCAGGAGCAAAGGCUCCUCUGGGGAAGAUUAAAGCUCAGUGCAAACCCCAAGGUCACCUCUACAUGAGCAGUGGGAAGGGAACAGGGUAAAACUUGGGAUCACCUGAGCUUGCUGGCAUCCAGCAGGGUUGGGGUUUAUUGCACUGGAGAUUCCACAAAGCUUUCACCCACCAGGAGCUCUUGGCUCUGCAGAGUCUGAUGGAUAUCCUGAAAAAUUUUGGAGUGACAUUUUGGAGGGUAGCUGGCAAAACACGAGCCAGCAAGACAUUGUAGAAAGAUGAAUUCAUAAGCAGAAAGUUUUAGAGAGGGUACUUGAGGAUGAAAGAGUGGUUCCACCAACCUUCACCAUUCAUUUAUUUAAAUUUAUGCUACAAAAUGGACAGCAGAGGAAAGUCAAAACUUGCACUGAUGAUUUUUCAUUCUCUUCCCCCCACUGCCCCUGAUCUUUUAUUUAUGAAACUGGUCUGGGUGCACCUUUCAAAUGACUUUUUUUGGCUUACUGUUUAUUACGUCUUCAUCAGCCUUGAAAUGGCAGCUGCAGGCAGCUUGAUAAAUGGAUGGAAAAGCUGCUUCUGCCAGAGUCAAACUAACAAAAACCCCUCAGCAUCCAUAAGGCUUUUUGUUUUAGCAUUUCUAAAACAAGCACUAUUUCCCUCAAAGCAUCACUGAAGAGUGAUGCUCCAGUAGCCCUGAGUGUUUCAACAAAGGGAUUUUUUAAUCCAGUGAUGCCCAGGGCAGAAGUUCCUCACUGGGUCAUGGACAGGACUCAGCCUGCAGCUCUGGAGAGCAAGGGCAGAGAAAGAGAGAGAGAGACAGGGAGAGAGAGAGAGAGAUGUGGUCUUAGGAAGGCUGAGAAAAUCACUCCAAAAUGUGCUGGGCAGAUCAAUGGAGUAAAUGAGGCAAAAUGUAUGAAGUUGGGUCCUGCUCACAGAGACUUGCAGCUUUCAUGCAGCUAUUUUUUACCCAGAUACUUUCUGAACUCUUCAUUUCCUCCCAAUCCUUCUUUAAAUAUGAACAGCUCAAUACAUCCCUGCUUCAAACCUUUUGUCCUUAGCACAUUUAUAUUCCACAGCUGGCCCAGCCUGGCAGUAAACAAGGGUUUAGCUACUGUGGCUUAUUGACAGUGGUAGAUGGUUCAGUCCCAUCUGUGAAGGUAUAAAAUACCCACAAGAAAAUAAAUACCCCAUAAGAAUGUGGUAAGGAACCAUCCAGGUGAAAACCUGUCAUGUUAUCUGCUGCAGCUUACAGCACAAAUGUUGCAGCAAAGAAGGGAGACAGGGGAAAUCCACCACCACAAAAACCAACCAACCAACCAACCAACCAACCAAUAACAUAAAAAAAAAAGAAACAAAAAAAACCAAAAAAAAACCCCCAAGAAACCUGAAAGGAAUGAAAACAUGUGGCUUGUGAGAGGAAGGAAGAGCUCUAGUGGUGAGUACUGCAGGCAGAAUGACAGAGGCUUGUGCUCUGUUCCUCACUAAGGUUGUUUGAGCUCUACAUGCAAGGAAAGAAUGUGAAUCUCCCCUGGCCUGAGCUGUUGGUGUGGAAUUUGCCACCGUGGAUCCCCCUGACAACCACUCCUGACACACUUUCCAGAGAGGUGGCAGCACUGCAAGGACACCUGAUGGGCUCUGCCAAAGUUAAUAAUCUUAUUUCCUUUCUCCUUACCAUUGCCUGCCUGGGUUCUGACUGUCCCUGACUGUCUCUGGCUGUCCCUGUCUGUCCCUGGCUGUCUCUGUCUGUGUCACCCAGGGGCUGCCAAGGUCCUGGCUGCUUAGGGACACAUGUUCCCAGCAGUGAUUCCAGUGCCAUGGCCACUCUGUGAGUUUUCUUUCCUAAUUAUGGGGAGCCACUCUCACUGAGUUAUUGCAGUCACCCAACCCUGUCUCUUUUUUCCUGUCUGCUGCAGUCCCUCUUGAGAGCUGCCUGGAUUCAGGGAGAGUUUUGCUGUUCCUUGAGGCAGGAGAUCUCUCCUCAUCCUUAGUGCAGCACCUUAGUGCACUUUCUGCUAGUGAGGAGUCACUUGGUGGAUUUUUGGAAGAGGUGUCCUGGCUGGCUGAUAGCUACUGGAGCUCCAACAGAAGGAAGAAGAUGUUUCCUGUGCCAGUGGAGAACUUCUGACUGUGAUUUGGAAUGAGCUCUUGGUGUCCUGCACAUGAACAUUUGGGGAAUGUCCAUCUUCUGCCGCUCACAUGGAAUCAGAGGGAGAAACAAGAAGGAUUUCUGG
Molecule: long non-coding RNA, 2596 nt
Organism: Zonotrichia leucophrys gambelii
Lineage: Eukaryota; Metazoa; Chordata; Aves; Passeriformes; Passerellidae
Exons: 3
Source: RefSeq, a predicted model, not a curated record